AAGUUCUGAUGACACCAUCGAACAUCUUGAUUCGGAUUGAACCAAUCCCUGCAAUUUUAUAUGGUGCAUCAUCGCCCAUUAAAACAGAACCACCUUCGAUAGGUUGAUAGUUGAUAAACCGACUUCUCUUUUGGACUCAUGUGAAAAGUACACGCUGAGUCAAGAAUUCAUUCGUCAUUGGUUUUGGCACAUCCAGCAAAAGCUACAAGAACUUCUCCGUUUGAAUUUUCUUCAACAGCAUAGGCUGCUUUUCCUUCAUCAUCUUGACUUGGUUUUGAGUUGCUGGUGGAAGCUUUCUUCUCCUUGUUUUUCAGCUUAUAACAUUCAGAAAUUUCAUGGCCAUCCUUUUUGCAAUAUCUGCAAUAUUUUCGACUCCUAGACUUUGAUCUGCCUGUAGAAUUAUUUGAGUUCUUGCCAUUAAAGUCAGCAUUUGACUUCUUGUCUG
RNAcentral lists this long non-coding RNA (445 nucleotides) under Nicotiana benthamiana. RNAcentral's name for it is "long non-coding RNA (NBEN_LNC022842)". The record is from RNAcentral. Lineage: Eukaryota; Viridiplantae; Streptophyta; Magnoliopsida; Solanales; Solanaceae.